RNAcentral lists this long non-coding RNA (300 nucleotides) under Panax ginseng (ginseng). Its description in RNAcentral is "long non-coding RNA (PGIN_LNC011376)". The record is from RNAcentral. Lineage: Eukaryota; Viridiplantae; Streptophyta; Magnoliopsida; Apiales; Araliaceae.
AUGAAGAGCCCAUUAAACACCUUCGGUAUUAAUACCUUCAGCUUCGGGAGAUGAGAGCUUUCAGCUUUGACUUCGAGUGAUGGAACACCUUCAGCUUCGGGAGUUGGGAUGACACUUUCACCUUCGACUUCGGAAGACGGAAUGACGUCUUGACUUCGGAGUUCGACAGACUAAUACUCCCUCCGUCCCAUGAUAAAAGUCUUUAUUACUAUUUUGGGUAGUCUCAUGUUAAAUGUCCAUUUUUCUUUAAUAACCAAAUUUUUACACAUAUUUUCCUAUUAUAUACUCGUAGCAUUAAAU